AAUAUUAGUGAAUGGGGGAGGAGCCAAGAUGGCAGAACAGCAUGGAAGUUUUUUGUGUGUCUCACAUCCGUGAAAUACAGCCAGGCCAACACUAAACCACCCUGCACAC
Long non-coding RNA from Lynx canadensis (Canada lynx), 109 nucleotides. RefSeq lists it as uncharacterized. The record is from RefSeq and is a predicted model, not a curated record. The transcript has 3 exons. NCBI's taxonomy places the organism in Eukaryota, Metazoa, Chordata, Mammalia, Carnivora, Felidae.